RNAcentral lists this ribosomal RNA (801 nucleotides) under Triticum aestivum (bread wheat). RNAcentral describes it as "partial small subunit ribosomal RNA". The record is from RNAcentral. Lineage: Eukaryota; Viridiplantae; Streptophyta; Magnoliopsida; Poales; Poaceae.
AUGUCCUCGCAGUACGGCAAGGCCCCUUUCCUCAACCGCUCCGUGACCGCCGUGCCUCGGACUGUGCCGACACCGGUGUUCGACCACAGGUCCACCGAGUUCAAGGGAGAAGGCGGCAGGUCGUACCCCGUUGUCCCGGAUUCCAUGACCAAGAUCAAGAACGUCACUGUGUGCUUUACGGCCGAGUUCAUCGCCGAGCUCAAGGCCCGCGUGGGAAUCCGCUCUAGCACGUUCCAGUGCCUGCUCGCGCAUGCGUGGAAUAAGAUCACGGCGGCGCGCGGCCUGAAGCCCGAGCAGUUCACGCAGGUGAGGGUGGCCGUGAACUGCCGGGCGAGGGCCAGCCCUCCGGUGCCGCCGGACUUCUUUGGGAACAUGGUGCUCUGGGCGUUCCCGAGGCUUCGGGCCCGGGACGUCCUGGGCUGGACCUAUCGCGGCGUGGUCGAGGCCAUCCGCGACGCCGUCGCCCGCGUGGACGCCGAGUACAUCCAGUCGUUCGUGGACUUCGGCAGCGUAGCGGACGCCAACGGCGAGGAGCUCGCGGCGACGUCGGCAGUCAAUGGCACAAUGUUCUGUCCAGACCUGGAGGUGGAUAGCAGCCUGGGUUUCAGGUUCAACCAGAUUGACCUCGGCACUGGGUCGCCCUCCGCGUUCGUCACCCCGGACCUGCCCAACGAGGGCCUCAUGAUCUUCUUGCCGUCGUGCACGGCCCGUGGUGGCGUCGACCUCAUCAUGGCCAUCCCAGAGGAUCAUGAUACCGCGACCAUCUACUCCUUGGAUGAAAGAGCUAAUCCAAAGAUGUAA